This 245-nucleotide ribosomal RNA is filed under the name uncultured Falsiporphyromonas sp. Its description in RNAcentral is "partial 16S ribosomal RNA". It matches the Rfam family "Bacterial small subunit ribosomal RNA", at positions 524 to 768 of the family's 1533-position model. The record is from RNAcentral. Lineage: Bacteria; Pseudomonadati; Bacteroidota; Bacteroidia; Bacteroidales; Porphyromonadaceae.
UACGGAGGAUGCGAGCGUUAUCCGGAUUUAUUGGGUUUAAAGGGUGCGUAGGCGGGUUCUUAAGCGUGAGGUGAAAUGCCACGGCUCAACCGUGGAACUGCCUCGCGAACUGGGAGUCUGGAAUGCCCCUGCCGUGGGAGGAAUGUGUGGUGUAGCGGUGAAAUGCAUAGAGAUCACACAGAACACCGAUUGCGAAGGCAUCUCACGAAGGGGUGAUUGACGCUGAGGCACGAAAGCGUGGGGAU